ACGCACGCUGGCGGCAUGCCUAACCCCUGCCCGUCGAACGAGACCUUCGGGUCUAGUGGCGCACGGGUGCGUAACGCGUGGGAACCUGCCCUUAGGUUCGGAAUAACUCCCCGAAAGGGGUGCUAAUACCGGCUAAUGUCUUCGGACCAAAGAUUUAUCGCCUUUGGAUGGGCCCGCGUUGGAUUAGCUAGUUGGUAGGGUAAAAGCCUACCAAGGCGACGAUCCAUAGCUGGUCUGAGAGGAGGAUCAGCCACACUGGGACUGAGACACGGCCCAGACUCCUACGGGAGGCAGCAGUGGAGAAUAUUGGACAAUGAGCGAAGGCCUGGUCCAGCAAUGCCGCGUGAGUGAUGAAGGCCUUAGGGUUGUAAAGCUCUUUUACCCGGGAUGAUAGUGACAGUACCGGGAGAAUAAGCUCCGGCUAACUCCGUG
RNAcentral lists this ribosomal RNA (432 nucleotides) under uncultured bacterium. RNAcentral describes it as "partial 16S ribosomal RNA". It matches the Rfam family "Bacterial small subunit ribosomal RNA", at positions 29 to 507 of the family's 1533-position model. The record is from RNAcentral.